RNAcentral lists this ribosomal RNA (225 nucleotides) under Paenibacillus tritici. RNAcentral describes it as "partial 23S ribosomal RNA". It matches the Rfam family "Bacterial large subunit ribosomal RNA", at positions 2696 to 2925 of the family's 2925-position model. The record is from RNAcentral. Lineage: Bacteria; Bacillati; Bacillota; Bacilli; Caryophanales; Paenibacillaceae.
GAUGGACGUACCGCUGGUGCAUCAGUUGUUCCGCCAGGAGCAUGGCUGAGUAGCUACGUACGGACGGGAUAAGCGCUGAAAGCAUCUAAGCGUGAAGCCCCCCUCAAGAUGAGAUUUCCCAAUUAGUAAGACCCCUUGAAGACGACGAGGUAGAUAGGUUGGAGGUGGAAGUGCAGCAAUGCAUGGAGCUGACCAAUACUAAUCGGUCGAGGGCUUAUCCAAAUA